Molecule: ribosomal RNA, 421 nt
Filed under: uncultured prokaryote
Description: bacterial SSU rRNA
Rfam family: Bacterial small subunit ribosomal RNA
Source: RNAcentral
UGGGGAAUCUUGGACAAUGGGGGCAACCCUGAUCCAGCGACGCCGCGUGGGUGAAGAAGGCCUUAGGGUUGUAAAUCCCUUUCACCGGGGAGGAUGAUGACGUUACCCGGAGAAGAAGCACCGGCUAACUCCGUGCCAGCAGCCGCGGUAAGACGGAGGGUGCUAGCGUUGUUCGGAAUCACUGGGCGUAAAGGGCGCGUAGGCGGCUUGGUCAGUCAGAUGUGAAAGCCCGGGGCUCAACCCCGGAACGGCAUUUGAUACUCCCAAGCUAGAGAUCGAAAGAGGAGAGUGGAAUACCCAGUGUAGAGGUGAAAUUCGUAGAUAUUGGGAAGAACACCGGUGGCGAAGGCGGCGACCUGGUCCGGUACUGACGCUGAGGCGCGAAAGCGUGGGGAGCAAACAGGAUUAGAUACCCCUGUAG